ACGUAUCGCCUCUCCUAUUAGGUUAUUUCAGGUUAAUUGGUCCCGUGCAGGUGUGGUCACAGGUAUAAGGGCCUUCGUAGAUGUGGCCCAGCCCUCGGUUUUGGGUAAUUCGUUAUAGCUUAGUUUUAUCGUGUUAUUUCUGUAUUCCCGGUAUUAAAGGACUUGCUAUGCCUAUUUCCAUGUAUAUUCUGGUUAAUUGAUAUAUUCUCAGGUGUGUCGGCGGAUAAAACGGAUCUCAUAUCGGUUUGGCCUGUCACAUUCCCUUACCAACCAUCUCGCGAAUACCAAAUAGCUGUCACUUCUACCUUGGCAGCGUUCCAGGUGUUAUAAGGGGAACUAGCCUUGUUUUCACCUGUAUUUCGGUUGAUUAGUGUAUCUCAGGUGUGUUUUCAGGUGUAUUGAGACUUUCCUUUCCCUCUUCUUCUUUUCCGCUCUUCAAAAUGCUGUUCAACGAUGUAAAAAGGUGGAUUAGUCUCGUUUUUACCUGUAUUUUCGGUUGAUUAGUGUAUCUCAGGUGUGUUUUCAGGUGUAUUGAGACUUUUCUUUCUCUCUUAUUCUUUUCCGCUCUUCAAAAUGCUGAUCAAGGAUGUAAAAAGGUGAAUUAGUCUCGUUUUUACCUGUAUUUUCGGUUAAUUAGCGUCUCUCAGGUGUGUUUUCAGGUGUAUUGAGACGUUUCUUUCCCUCUUCUUCUUUUCCGCUCUUCAAAAUGCUGUUCAAGGAUGUAAAAAGGUGGAUUAGUCUCGUUUUUACCUGUAUUUUCGGUUAAUUAGCGUCUCUCAGGUGUGUUUUCAGGUGUAUUGCGACUUUUUCUUUCCUUCUUAUUCUUUUCCGCUCUUCAAAAUGAUGUUCAAGGAUGUAAAAAGGUGGAUUAGUCUUGUUUUCACCUGUAUUUCGGUUAAUUAGUGUAUCUCAGGUGUGUUUUCAGGUGUAUUGAGACGUUUCUUUCCCUCUUCUUCUUUUCCGCUCUUCAAAAUGAUGUUCAAGGAUGUAAAAAGGUGGAUUAGUCUCGUUUUUACCUGUAUUUUCGGUUAAUUAGUGUAUCUCAGGUGUGUUUUCAGGUGUAUUGAGACUUUUCUUUCCUCCUUAUUCUUUUCCGCUCUUCAAAAUGCUGUUCAAGGAUGUAAAAAGGUGGAUUAGUCUCGUUUUUACCUGUAUUUCGGUUAAUUAGUGUAUCUCAGGUGUGUUUUCAGGUGUAUUGAGACUUUUAUUUCCCUCUUCUUCUUUUCCGCUCUUCAAAAUGAUGUUCAAUGAUGUAAAAAGGUGAAUUAGUUUCGUUUUUACCUGUAUUUCGGUUAAUUAGUGUCUCUCAGGUGUGUUUUCAGGUGUAUUGAGACUUUUCAUUUCCCUUAUAUUAUUUUCGUCUCUUCAAAAAACUGUUAGGCUAUUCUGUCUUUUUAGGUUAUUUCAGAGGUGUUUCAAGGUGUAAGGAGGUGGAUUAGUUUUGUUUUCACCUGUAUAUAAGUUAAUUAGUGUCUAUCAGGUGUUUUCAGGUAUAUUGAGCCUCUUCCCUUCCCUAUUAUUCGUUUAGCCCAUUCAAAGUAACUUAUUCUUUCUGUCGUAGCUUAUUUCAAAGGUGUGAAAAGGUUAAUUACUCUUUUUUUACCUGUAUAUCGGUUAAUUAAUGUCUGUCAGGUGAAUUUCCAGGUGUUAGAGGCUUUUAAUUUCCCUUUUAUUCUAUUCAUCUCUUCAAAAUGCAGAAAUUCUAUCUCCCGUAGCUUAUUUCAGUAGUGUUAUAAGGUCUUAAAAGGUGAAUUAGUCUUGUUUUUACUUGUAUAUAAGUUAAUUAGUGUGUCAGGUAAGUUUCCAGGUAAUAUAAGUGCUUUUUCCUUUCCCUUUUAAUACUUUCGAGGAAACUUUCAAGGAUUGUCUGUUUCUACCUCCUGCAACCUUUUCAGUAGUGUUCUAAGGUAUCAAAAAGGUUAAUUAGUCUUCUUUUAACGUAUUUUUAAGUUAAUUGGCAUACUACAGGUAAGUUCCCAGGUGUAGUGUGACUUUUCUUUCCUUAUUCUUCUUCAGCAAAAUUUUCAAAGGCUGUCACUCUCUACCGAAGCUUUUAAUACUGUUCUAAAGGGAGUUAUUCUUAUUUCCACGUGUGUUUCGGUUAAUUAAAAUCAUACAGGUAAAUUCUCAGGUGUAACGUGACUUUUCUUUCCUUAUUCUUCUUCAGCAAAAUUUUCAAGGGCUGUCACUCUCUACCGAAGCUUUUAAUACUGUUCUAAAGGGAGUUAUUCUUAUUUCCACGUGUGUUUCGGUUAAUUAAAAUCAUACAGGUGAAUCCUCAGGUGAAGUGACGUUGAUCUUUCCUUUUUCUUCUUCUUCAGCAAAAUUUUAAAGGGCUGUCACUCUCUACCGAAGCUUUUAAUACUGUUCUAAGGGGAGUUAUUCUUAUUUCCACGUGUGUUUCGGUUAAUUAAAAUCAUACAGGUGAAUUCUCAGGUGAAGUGACGUUGAUCUUUCCUUUUUCUUCUUCUUCAGCAAAAUUUUAAAGGGCUGUCACUCUCUACCGAAGCUUUUCAAUACUGUUCUAAGGUGUUACAAGGUGAGUUAUUCUAGUUUCCACGUGUAUUUAGGUUAAUCAGCAUCAUACAGGUAAAUUUCCAGGUGUAGAGAGCAUUUUCCUAUCCCUUUUUUUCUUAUGCAACUAGAUAAUCAAGGGCUAUCUAUCUCACGCAGUCCUUUCAAUAGCGUUUCUUAGGGGUUACAAGGCGAGAUAUUCCUAUUUUCACGUAUAUUUAAGUUAAUUAGUAUCCCCCCAGGUGAGUUCCCCAGGUGUAAGGGGCCUAAGGGGUGCGCUAUGCCCCCUGUGUGAGUAUUUAAAUUUCUCUCAUGCCUCGCUCCCUCCCCGCCCCGUCGUCUGCAUCCCAAAACGAGUCUCGCCAACCAGCCUCAGAAAUGUAUAUAAAAAUGCUAUUACAGAGGGCAAUAUAUACUUUUUAGGGUUGUUAAUUUAUAUAUUGCUACUAUUACGUCACUUUUCCCCAUCCUAGUAGCAUUUAAAGGGGAAAAAAUAAAAAUCUAUAGCUGUCUCGUAUAUAAAAUGUGUAUGAUAGUGAGGAAUAUAUAGUUUUAAUGGUUGGUGAUUUAUAUAUUUUUACGAUAAUAACCACUUUGCCUUUUCUAGCUGUAUUUUACGGUAUGUAUAUAAAGGGGGCAUGUAUAUAAAGUUCGUAUGAUGGCGAAUAUAGAUUUUCCAGGUUUGGUAAUUUAUAUACAUUUCCUAGAACGCCUUUUAGUCUAUUUUGGUAACAUUUAACCCCCAAAAAAGUGUAUAUAGCUGUUCUGCAAUAUAUACAAUGUAAAAAAUAUAUAUUAAUAAAGUUUUUUUGGCUUCAUAAUUUACGUAUUUUUACUAUAACACCUUUUUUCCCUUCCAAUAGUAUCUAAAAUUUACUAUAAAUACUAUCAAUAAAAUGUGUAAUGAUAUGGAAGAGCAAAAAGUUAGGUAGAGGUCACAAGCCUUCCUUAUCUAUAUAGCUAUGCAUCUAACCUCAUUACCUCGUUCUAUGGGUUAAAUAAAUAUAUAAAUACUCUUAUUCUUUCAUUCCACAAGCCCUCACAGUCUAUUUCUUGCCUUAGUUCACUGCCACCAUUAAAUUUCACCUAUCCCAAUCCCUUAUGCAAGAGUUAACCAGCACCAUCGAUCUUUCAUCCCUUUCUGUAAUAAUACGGAAAAAAUUAUAGACCUGAAAAUAUGAAUAAAACUUAAUAUGUAUAAUUUUCCUGCCUAUCCCAAUCCCUUAUGCAAGAGUUAACCAGCACCCUCGAUCUUUCAUCCCUUCCUGUAGUAGUAUGGAAAGAAU
Long non-coding RNA from Eriocheir sinensis (Chinese mitten crab), 3800 nucleotides. RefSeq lists it as uncharacterized. The transcript is spliced from 3 exons. Lineage: Eukaryota; Metazoa; Arthropoda; Malacostraca; Decapoda; Varunidae. The record is from RefSeq and is a predicted model, not a curated record.